GACGAACGCUGGCGGCGUGCUUAACACAUGCAAGUCGAGCGAUGAAGUUUCUUCGGAGAUGGAUUAGCGGCGAACGGGUGAGGAACACGUGAAGAAUCUGCCCUCCACUUUGGGAUAACUCCGGGAAACCGGGGCUAAUACCGAAUAUUGAAAUAUAAGUGGCAUCACUGAAUUUUGAAAGAAUUUUGGUGGAGGAUGACUUCGCGGCCUAUCAGCUUGUUGGUGAGGUAAUGGCUCACCAAGGCAACGACGGGUAGCCGGCCUGAGAGGGCGACCGGCCACACUGGGACUGAGACACGGCCCAGACUCCUACGGGAGGCAGCAGUGGGGAAUAUUGGGCAAUGGACGCAAGUCUGACCCAGCGACGCCGCGUGCGGGAUGAAGGCCUUCGGGUUGUAAACCGCUUUCAGUAGGGAAGAAGCGAAAGUGACGGUACCUGCAAAAGAAGCACCGGCUAACUAUG
RNAcentral lists this ribosomal RNA (463 nucleotides) under uncultured bacterium. RNAcentral describes it as "bacterial SSU rRNA". It matches the Rfam family "Bacterial small subunit ribosomal RNA", at positions 28 to 505 of the family's 1533-position model. The record is from RNAcentral.